GACGGAGGAUGCAAGUGUUAUCCGGAAUCACUGGGCGUAAAGCGUCUGUAGGUGGUUUAAUAAGUCAACUGUUAAAUCUUGAGGCUCAACCUCAAAAUCGCAGUCGAAACUAUUAGGCUAGAGUAUAGUAGGGGUAAAGGGAAUUUCCAGUGGAGCGGUGAAAUGCGUAGAGAUUGGAAAGAACACCGAUGGCGAAGGCACCUUACUGGGCUAUUACUAACACUCAGAGACGAAAGCUAGGGUAGCAAAUGGG
RNAcentral lists this ribosomal RNA (253 nucleotides) under uncultured bacterium. RNAcentral's name for it is "partial 16S ribosomal RNA". It matches the Rfam family "Bacterial small subunit ribosomal RNA", at positions 524 to 776 of the family's 1533-position model. The record is from RNAcentral.